GACGAACGCUGGCGGCGUGCUUAACACAUGCAAGUCGAACGGAAAGGCCCUGCUUUUGUGGGGUGCUCGAGUGCGAACGGGUGAGUAACACGUGAGUAACCUGCCCUUGACUUUGGGAUAACUUCAGGAAACUGGGGCUAAUACCGGAUAGGAGCUCCUGCUGCAUGGUGGGGGUUGGAAAGUUUCGGCGGUUGGGGAUGGGCUCGCGGCUUAUCAGCUUGUUGGUGGGGUAGUGGCUUACCAAGGCUUUGACGGGUAGCCGGCCUGAGAGGGUGACCGGCCACAUUGGGACUGAGAUACGGCCCAGACUCCUACGGGAGGCAGCAGUGGGGAAUAUUGCACAAUGGGCGGAAGCCUGAUGCAGCAACGCCGCGUGCGGGAUGACGGCCUUCGGGUUGUAAACCGCUUUCGCCUGUGACGAAGCGUGAGUGACGGUAAUGGGUAAAGAAGCACCGGCUAACUACGUG
RNAcentral lists this ribosomal RNA (467 nucleotides) under uncultured bacterium. RNAcentral describes it as "partial 16S ribosomal RNA". It matches the Rfam family "Bacterial small subunit ribosomal RNA", at positions 28 to 507 of the family's 1533-position model. The record is from RNAcentral.